GUGAGAAUGAGCAACCCCAGACCAUCCAGGCAGCCCUGAGUCAGCAUCCAGCCCUGCCUCUGCAUGCAGAGAAGUGGUUUUCUCAAGGUCACAGGCAGAGCUUUCCCGCAAGGUCCUACUAUACCUGGAGGGACUGUCACCUGGCAUGAACUCGACCCCUGUCUGGCUCACCUUUCGUCAGG
Pan paniscus (pygmy chimpanzee) is the source of this 182-nucleotide long non-coding RNA. Lineage: Eukaryota; Metazoa; Chordata; Mammalia; Primates; Hominidae. The record is from Ensembl.